ACUAGAAAUAGCCCAAAUAAACUCCAAAUUAUUACCCUAAAGUAAUCCAACAAAUCAUUUAUAAAAUAAAAGUAUAGGUGAUAGAAAUUAUAAUUGACGCUAUAGAAAUAGUACCGCAAGGGAAAAAAUGAAAGAGAGCUGUAAGUAAAUAACAGCAAAGCUUAACCCUUGUACCUUUUGCAUAAUGACUCAACUAGAAAAUAUUUGCAAAAAGAAUUUAAGUUAAUAUACCCGAAACCAGACGAGCUACCCCCUAGCAGUUCAACAGGACAAACUCAUCUAUGUGGCAAAAUAGUGAGAAGACUAGAGGGUAGAGGCGAAAAACCUAUCGAGCCUGGUGAUAGCUGGUUGUCCAGAGUAGAAUCUUAGUUCUAAUUUAAAUUUACCAAAAAACACACAAAUUAAAAUGUAAAUUUAAAUAAUAGUCUAAAAGGGUACAGCCUUUUAGAUACAGGGUACAACCUUUAUUAGAGAGAAAAUAAAUAAAUGAGACUAUCCUAGUUGGCCUAAAAGCAGCCACCAAGCAAGACAGCGUUCAAGCUCGAUAGUGUAUAAUAACUAAUCCCAUCUAUCUACAAAAUACUCCUAAUAUACAACUGGACCAUUCUAUUUUUAUAUAGAAGAAAUAAUGUUGAUAUGAGUAACAAGAAUUAUUUCUCCAUGCAUACGUGUAUAUCAGAACGAAUUCAUCACUGAUAAUUACCAGAAGGGCAUAAUUAAAAAAUCAAAACCCCAACAUAAACUGUUAACCCAACACAGGAAUGCAAGCAAGGAAAGAUUAAAAGAAGUAAAAGGAACUCGGCAAAAAUAAAUCCCGCCUGUUUACCAAAAACAUCACCUCUAGCAUAAAAAGUAUUAGAGGCAACGCCUGCCCAGUGACAUUAGUUUAACGGCCGCGGUAUCCUGACCGUGCAAAGGUAGCAUAAUCACUUGUUCUCUAAAUAAGGACUGGUAUGAACGGCUCCACGAGGAUCUUACUGUCUCUUACUUCCAAUCAGUGAAAUUGACCCCCCCGUGAAGAGGCGGGGAUACAUAAAUAAGACGAGAAGACCCUAUGGAGCUUCAAUUAAUUAGCCCAUGAAUAAGAACAACACUCUAUAAGAGAUCAACUACCCAUCAACUGGGCUAACAAUUUAGGUUGGGGUGACCUCGGAAUAAAAAAUAACUUCCAAGAAAUUUCAAUCAAGACCUACAAGUCAAAAUUAUUACAUAAUUAUAUUGACCCCGCCCAUAAGCGAUCAACGAAAUAAGUUACCCUAGGGAUAACAGCGCAAUCCUAUUUAAGAGUCCAUAUCGACAAUAGGGUUUACGACCUCGAUUGUUGGAUCAGGACAUCCCAAUGGUGCAGCAGCUAUUAAUGUGUUCGUUUGUUCAACGAUUAAAGUCCUACGUGAUCUGAGUUCAGACCGGAGCAAUCCAGGUCGGUUUCUAUCUAUUUCAAGGUCUUUCCCAGUACGAAAGGAUAAGAAAGACGAGGUCAACUUAAAAUCAAGCACCUUACAAGACAGAUGAACUAAUCUUAAUCUAACAGUUUAAUUUAUAGCCCUAGAGAAGGGCU
This 1558-nucleotide ribosomal RNA is filed under the name Murina tubinaris (Scully's tube-nosed bat). RNAcentral describes it as "16S ribosomal RNA". It matches the Rfam family "Bacterial large subunit ribosomal RNA". Lineage: Eukaryota; Metazoa; Chordata; Mammalia; Chiroptera; Vespertilionidae. The record is from RNAcentral.